UACGUAGGGCGCGAGCGUUGUCCGGAAUUAUUGGGCGUAAAGAGCUCGUAGGCGGCCUGUUGCGUCUGCUGUGAAAUCCCGGGGCUUAACCCCGGGCGUGCAGUGGAUACGGGCAGACUAGAGUGCGGUAGGGGAGACUGGAAUUCCUGGUGUAGCGGUGAAAUGCGCAGAUAUCAGGAGGAACACCGGUGGCGAAGGCGGGUCUCUGGGCCGUAACUGACGCUGAGGAGCGAAAGCGUGGGGAGCGAACAGG
Molecule: ribosomal RNA, 253 nt
Filed under: uncultured bacterium
Lineage: Bacteria
Description: partial 16S ribosomal RNA
Rfam family: Bacterial small subunit ribosomal RNA
Source: RNAcentral